GACGAACGCUGGCGGCGUGCUUAACACAUGCAAGUCGAACGGAAAGGCCCUGCUUUUGUGGGGUGCUCGAGUGGCGAACGGGUGAGUAACACGUGAGUAACCUGCCCUUGACUUUGGGAUAACUUCAGGAAACUGGGGCUAAUACCGGAUAGGAGCUCCUGCUGCAUGGUGGGGGUUGGAAAGUGUCGGCGGUUGGGGAUGGACUCGCGGCUUAUCAGCUUGUUGGUGGGGUAGUGGAUUACCAAGGCUUUGACGGGUAGCCGGCCUGAGCGGGUGACCGGCCACGUUGGGACUGAGAUACGGCCCAGACUCCUACGGGAGGCAGCAGUGGAGAAUAUUGCACAAUGGGCGGAAGCAUGAUGCAGCAACGCCGCGUGCGGGAUGACGGCCUUCGGGUUGUAAACCGCUUUCGCCUGUGACGAAGCGUGAGUGACGGUAAUGGGUAAAGAAGCACCGGCUAACUACGUG
Molecule: ribosomal RNA, 468 nt
Filed under: uncultured bacterium
Lineage: Bacteria
Description: partial 16S ribosomal RNA
Rfam family: Bacterial small subunit ribosomal RNA
Source: RNAcentral